GACGGGGGAUGCAAGCGGUAUCCGGAAUCACUGGGCGUAAAGCGUCUGUAGGUGGUGAUGCAAGUCACUGGUACAAAACUCUGGCUCAACCGGAGGAAAGCCAGUGAAACUGCAUGACUAGAGUGUGGGAGAGGUAGAAGGAAUUCCCUGAGUAGCGGUGAAAUGCGUAGAUACAGGGAAGAACACCGGAGGCGAAAGAGUUCUACGGGAACACAAUUGACACUGAGAGACGAAAGUUAGGGGAGCGAAUGGG
RNAcentral lists this ribosomal RNA (253 nucleotides) under uncultured bacterium. RNAcentral describes it as "partial 16S ribosomal RNA". It matches the Rfam family "Bacterial small subunit ribosomal RNA", at positions 524 to 776 of the family's 1533-position model. The record is from RNAcentral.